RNAcentral lists this ribosomal RNA (305 nucleotides) under uncultured bacterium. Its description in RNAcentral is "bacterial SSU rRNA". It matches the Rfam family "Bacterial small subunit ribosomal RNA", at positions 334 to 653 of the family's 1533-position model. The record is from RNAcentral.
UGGUCCUACGGGAGGCAGCAGUGGGGAAUAUUGCACAAUGGGCGCAAGCCUGAUGCAGCAACGCCGCGUGAGCGAAGAAGGUCUUCGGAUCGUAAAGCUCUGUCCUUGAGGAAGAAGGAAGUGACGGUACUCAAGGAGGAAGCCCCGGCUAACUACGUGCCAGCAGCCGCGGUAAUACGUAGGGGGCAAGCGUUAUCCGGAUUUACUGGGUGUAAAGGGAGCGCAGGCGGCGCGUUAAGCCUGGUGUGAAAGCCCGCGGCCCAACCGCGGGACUGCAUUGGGAACUGGCGCGCUGGAGUGCCGGG